RNAcentral lists this long non-coding RNA (1455 nucleotides) under Linum usitatissimum (flax). RNAcentral's name for it is "long non-coding RNA (LUSI_LNC007075)". The record is from RNAcentral. Lineage: Eukaryota; Viridiplantae; Streptophyta; Magnoliopsida; Malpighiales; Linaceae.
UCUCUUCCUCUCCUCUCAAAUCUCUCUGACUUCUCUCUAAAACCUCUCCAUUCUCUCUAACCUCCCUCCUCUCUUCUCUCUUUCUUCUCUACCACCGCCGCCGCCGCUGCUAUUUUUUACUUUUUUUUUUCCGCUGCCUCUCCUCUUCUUCCUUUUCUGGUCUCGUCGACGGCGACGGGCGCCGCCACCUCCGCCUCCUCUCUCCUCCCACAACGAACAAAGAAAGGAGAACAGGAGGAAGAAAAGGUAAAAACAUGGAAACCCCUCCUUCUGCUUUAAUUUUUUUUUCUGUUUUGACUUCGAUUCGGGCUUGCAUGUUGUCUGCGAAUCCCGAUCUGCGGAUUUACGAUCUGAGUUUUUUUUAUUUUUAUAUUCUUUUCCUGAUUUCUAUUGUCUUUAUGUUGGUUUAUAUUUUCAAUAAAGAUGGGGAUCAGUGGAGCCGGAGAGGCAGAUUUCCGUCGAAGACGGACUCGCAGGAGCAAAGGACGAGAAAGGUAAAAGGUUGAACCCUUUAUUUAUUCUGAUUUUACUUGGUUGAUGAUGAUAGUUUUGUUUGAUUAGGUCACUUGAAACAAAAUCUGGACUAUUUUGUUGUUACGAUGAGUUUAGAAAUCUGAACUUUCUAAAAAUUACCCAUUUGUUUGAAAUGUUAUUAUUUAGUGUCAUCUUUGAUAAAAUUUCAGCAACUUGUUAAGUUUUGAAUCUUAUUUUAGUGUUUGCUAGGACGUUUACCAACAUGAAACGUUUCCUUGAUUAGUCAUAAUGAAUAUUCGAGGAUGAUUUUUAAGAGAGUAUAAGUGCCACCAAAUGUAUGUAUAAAUAUUGCAUGAAUGCUUUUGAAUAGGAAUGUUUGGAUGAUUACCUUUGAAUCGAAGCUUCUUUUUUUGUCGUGUUUCAGGUGGUAGUCCCUUGCGAAUGACGACAAAGUGAAUGACGGUAGAAACGGUUGUACUUAGGUUUAGCUCGUGUUUGUAACUUGCUGUAAUAAUUUUCUUUUCUUCUUUAUUUUGGACUGGGACUUGGCGGGACUUGGGUUGCAGGGAUUUUUUCGUCCAAAAACCAUUCUUCCCCCUCCAUUUCCCCUCUUGCUUGUCCAUUUAAAUCAAGAAAAGGGAUUGCCACCUCCCCUCUCCCCCAAUGGAACUUUGCAACGUUUCUUGAAACAAAACAAGAGGUGGCAGCCUCUUAAUUAAUAACAGUAGCUGGCCCAAAAUUGGGCCCAAAAUACCGGGCCCGCUAUCGGGCCCAAAAACAUUGACAUUUCGACGUAGAAAAGAAUUACGAAACUAAAAGUACGAAAGCCCGGACAAAUUUGGUUACUACAAUAACGUUAGAUGAUGAUAAGUUUAGAUACGACGAGUGAGCAGUGAAUAAGAACACCUCACCUAGAUGAAUAAUAGGUGAAUUCAUAAUGAACCUAACUUGAUUGAGUUUUGUUAUUCAUGUUGAUGAUUC